RNAcentral lists this ribosomal RNA (497 nucleotides) under uncultured bacterium. RNAcentral's name for it is "partial 16S ribosomal RNA". It matches the Rfam family "Bacterial small subunit ribosomal RNA", at positions 28 to 507 of the family's 1533-position model. The record is from RNAcentral.
GAUGAACGCUGGCGGCGUGCCUAAUACAUGCAAGUCGAGCGAACAGACGAGGAUCUUGCUCCUCUAACGUUAGCGGCGGACGGGUGAGUAACACGUGUAUAACCUACCUAUAAUACUGGUAUAACUUCGGGAAACCGGAGCUAAUACCGGAUAAUAUAUUGAACCGCAUGGUUCAAUAGUGAAAGACGGCUUUGCUGGCAGUUAUAGCUGGAUCUGCGCCGCAUUAGCUAGUUGGUAAGGUAACGGCUUAUCAAGGCAACGAGGCGUAGCCGACCUGAGAGAGUGAUAGGCGACCCUGGAGGUGAGACGCGGUCAAGACGCCUAAGGGAGGCAGCAGUAGGGAACCGUACGCAGUAGGCGAAAGCCUGACGGAACAAGGCCGCGUCAGAGAUGAAGGUCUUCGGAUCGUAAUACUCUGUUAUUAGGGAAGAACAAAUGUGUAAGUAAAUAUGCACGUCUUGACGGUACUUAAUCAGAAAGCAACGGCUAACUACGUG